Molecule: long non-coding RNA, 393 nt
Organism: Fundulus heteroclitus (mummichog)
Lineage: Eukaryota; Metazoa; Chordata; Actinopteri; Cyprinodontiformes; Fundulidae
Exons: 3
Source: RefSeq, a predicted model, not a curated record
AGCUCAGUACUUUCGCAAAAGACAUCACUGGUUUGGGGUCCCUGAUGUCCAUGGAAGAAGGUUGAAUUACUGUCUAAAUGUGGAUCUCCAGUGCAUGGACAUUUUCAGCAACCAGAUGAGUUGGUGUUGCGUCCUCGCAGAUGGCUCCUUCUCCACUCAGCAGUGUAACGAUGGCUCGUGAUAACACAGCCAGUCACAUCGACGUGUUGUACUCACCGGGAAGGCUGACAUUUACCACUCAGUGCUUCAUCACCUUCUCCACAACCUACAUACAUUAAAAGUUUAGAAUUUAGAUGGUUCACACUCUAGUUGUAUGAUGAACUUUACAUUAUGGCCUUCAUUAACACAUUGCCACACACUGCUACAAUGUAAUCACCUACUUAAAUACCUUUA